Molecule: ribosomal RNA, 254 nt
Filed under: uncultured bacterium
Lineage: Bacteria
Description: partial 16S ribosomal RNA
Rfam family: Bacterial small subunit ribosomal RNA
Source: RNAcentral
UACGAAGGGGGCUAGCGUUGCUCGGAAUCACUGGGCGUAAAGCGCACGUAGGCGGGCUCUUAAGUCGGUGGUGAAAUCCUGGAGCUCACCUCCAGAACUGCCUUCGAUACUGAGAGUCUUCGAGUCCGGGAGAGGUGAGUGGAACUGCGAGUGUAGAGGUGAAAGUCGUAGAUAUUCGCAAGAACACCAGUGGCGAAGGCGGCUCACUGGCCCGGUACUGACGCUGAGGUGCGAAAGCUAGGGGAGCGAACGGG